UAGCCGUAAACGAUACUCGCUAGGUGUCGGCCACGGUGCGACCGUUGUCGGUGCCGUAGGGAAGCCGUGAAGCGAGCCACCUGGGAAGUACGGCCGCAAAGGCUGAAACUUAAAGGAAUUGGCGGGGGAGCACAACAACGGGUGGAGCUUGCGGUUUAAUUGGAUUCAACGCCGGAAAUCUUACCGGGACCGACAGCAACAUGAAGGCCAAGCUGAAGACUUUGCCGGAUUAGCUGAGAGGAGGUGCAUGGCGUAGUCGUGU
RNAcentral lists this ribosomal RNA (262 nucleotides) under uncultured archaeon. Its description in RNAcentral is "partial 16S ribosomal RNA". It matches the Rfam family "Archaeal small subunit ribosomal RNA", at positions 748 to 1009 of the family's 1478-position model. The record is from RNAcentral.